GGCUGAGUAGCUUAGUUGAAUAGAGCGUCAGAUUCCGGUUCUGAAGGUCGUGGGUUUGAGUCCCACCUCAGUCA
Molecule: transfer RNA, 74 nt
Organism: Porphyromonas sp.
Lineage: Bacteria; Pseudomonadati; Bacteroidota; Bacteroidia; Bacteroidales; Porphyromonadaceae
Rfam family: tRNA
About the family: Transfer RNA (tRNA) molecules are approximately 80 nucleotides in length. Their secondary structure includes four short double-helical elements and three loops (D, anti-codon, and T loops).
Source: Rfam